Molecule: unclassified non-coding RNA, 401 nt
Filed under: soil metagenome
Description: partial contains 5.8S ribosomal RNA, internal transcribed spacer 2, and large subunit ribosomal RNA
Rfam family: 5.8S ribosomal RNA (bases 1-121)
Source: RNAcentral
GAUGAAGAACGUAGCGAAAUGCGAUAAGUAAUGUGAAUUGCAGAAUUCAGUGAAUCAACGAAUCUUUGAACGCACCUUGCGCCCUUUGGCCAUUCCGAAGGGCAUGCCUGUUUGAGUAUCAUGAACACCUCAACUCUCAUGGCUUGCCAUGAUGAGCUUGGACUUUGGGGGUCUGGCUGGCCUGUGGUCGGCUCCUCUCAAAUGAAUCAGCUUGCCAGUGUUUGGUGGCAUCACAAGUGUGAUAACUAUCUGCGCUCGUGGUUUCCAUCAGAUAACCUCCAGUGAUGGAGGUUCGCUGGAGCUCAUAAAUGUCUCUCCUAAGCGAGGACAGCUCUUUUAAUGUUUGAUCUCAAAUCAGGUAGGACUACCCGCUGAACUUAAGCAUAUCAAUAAGCGGAGGA